This 1222-nucleotide long non-coding RNA is filed under the name Gallus gallus (chicken). Its description in RNAcentral is "lncRNA (ENSGALG00010005173.1)". Lineage: Eukaryota; Metazoa; Chordata; Aves; Galliformes; Phasianidae. The record is from RNAcentral.
CUAAUACAGGUCAUAUAUUAGGCUUUUCUUUUUCAGUGGUCAACGUGGUUCAAUUUCCAGCUAGGACAUAAUUUGCACAAUAACCUGAAGUUGAAAUUAAUACUAAGAAACAAGCUGUACUGUGUGUAAGAAAAAUCCAUUAAGCUGUCUGCAUUAGAGGAAGAAGCUGACCAAUGGAGUUGAAGCAAAUGUGUUAUACCGUAAGAAGAAAGGUUCAGACAAAUAUCACAGGAACCAGGAUGACACUCCAAUAAGGGGGCAGCAGAGGGGCAGUCUGACAAAAUGGCAUAUGACAUGGAAGUGCAUAUGAAGCAAAGAUCAGAGUUCCAAUAUGACCAUGCUCUUGAAAGGGAGGCACUGAAUACAGAGCACAUUUAUCAAGGCAAAAGUGCUUAACUAUGACCUUAAGCACAUGCUGCUGCUUGUUAGUUUAACUGAAGCUGCACAAACAUGAUAAAAGUGAAGUAUGAAGAAACUUUGUCUUUUCUGAGCCAUCUUCUCAUAUGUAGCUGAAAGCUACACAGAGGAAGAAGAAAUGAUUCUACAGACCUACUGUCACACUGUGUUUCCAUGGGUGCGUGGGCAAACUGAUCUAGUACUUGAUCCAGCAGCUGUCUGUGACAGAGAAGGUGGAACUUGACUGACGUCCCUUCCAACCCAAGCCAUUGUAUGGUUCUAUGAAUAUAUUCCAAAUAUCCGAAGGUAAUGCUUUGUUGUAUUUAAAACUUGCGUUCUUAUUACUAAACAUUUCCAAUAGAUCUGGAAUCUCACUCCAUUUUUUCUUCUAGUUUAGAAAAGCUGGAGAUUACACUUCAGAAAGUCAAACUUUCUCUUAGAAACAUAUGGUGAUGCAAGUUGGAUGCAUACUGAAAAGUAAGAACUAUUGUAAAACUACAACACUGACACUGUUUGAAAUUGGAGAUAGGCUUCUGCUCUACAAAAUGUUAAGCACACUUUUUGGUGGAGCUUUAAGAUAACGAAUAACAUCCAAGACAACAAGAAUUGCCUACAAACUUAUCUAGCUCCUGUUGGAAUCAAUUAGGCAUUUCAGUUAACUUAAAUAGGAAUGAGACCCAGUAAGUUUUAGAACACUAUCAAAAAGACAGGACACUUUUUACACCAUUAUUGAAAUACAGGAAACUAAAAUGUUUUGGGACCCAUUCUUUGCACUUACUGACUUCUGCAGUAAAUCAGUUCUGAAGUAUAAUACAGUAUUUCUAAG